This is a long non-coding RNA of Physella acuta, 431 nucleotides long. RefSeq lists it as uncharacterized. NCBI's taxonomy places the organism in Eukaryota, Metazoa, Mollusca, Gastropoda, Physidae. The record is from RefSeq and is a predicted model, not a curated record.
AGUUUUCAUAAACAAUUAACUCCAAUUGACCAACAACCGAAACAUAGCAAGGCAGAAACAAAUUUCAGUAACACCAGCAGUCUGAAGUUACCCACUAAAACUAUUCAUAACAAAAAGAAAGAUUUUGAUCCUCCAGUAUGGAUGAAGAAGAAGCAAAGUCACUCUACUUCAUGCUUUACAAGUUUAAACAAUGAAGGCACAAGUAAAGCAGAAUUAACAGACUUUAGUCAUAGAUCUAUGAAAACAGUAUACUUUAUGUCAGAAAAAGAAGUAAUGGAAAUGUCACUUGAUAUUCUUAAACAGCAUGGCCAAGACAAGUAAAUUGUAACAAUCUGUGGAUUCUUAAAACUUGCUGGUAUUUUGCAAAUAUUGUACAAAUGUAAAACUUCAUGAAACAAUUGUUAUAGAAUCAGUUUUACAGUAAUCAAGCA